UAGCUCAGUGAUAGAGCACAUGCCUGGCAUGCAUGAGGACCGGGGUUCAAUCCCCAG
This 57-nucleotide transfer RNA is filed under the name Heterocephalus glaber (naked mole-rat). It matches the Rfam family "tRNA", at positions 8 to 63 of the family's 71-position model. From Rfam's summary of the family: Transfer RNA (tRNA) molecules are approximately 80 nucleotides in length. Their secondary structure includes four short double-helical elements and three loops (D, anti-codon, and T loops). The record is from Rfam by way of RNAcentral. Lineage: Eukaryota; Metazoa; Chordata; Mammalia; Rodentia; Bathyergidae.